UGGGGUUGUACAAGUUCCCGUUGACCCGGAGUUUAUAGGAGAACGCGAGGCUAUCUUCAUCACUUCGGAAGACGUUUAUCAAGCAGCCUCCAUGGAUAAUAUUGGAUCCUUAGCUAUGCUGUUUGGUAUGAGAUGCAUUUGGGAAAGCAUGCACCCAAAUUCACGACAAUUAUAUAAAUUUUUUGACACCGAACAUCUUUCUAUUGGCAAUGAUGAAAGUAAAAACUAUACGGUGGAUCUUAUAGCCAAAUGGAUGAUGACUAUGGAUAGACGAGGCCAAAUAUAUUUCAUUCCUUGGAUUGUUGAUCGACAUUGGAUGUUGGUGCUCGUGAUGAUGUGGGGGAUGACCAUAAUUUUGGACCCUUUAAAAAAUCAUAAAUCUCCACCAAUAAUUACGGAGGUUAUGG
This is a long non-coding RNA of Humulus lupulus (European hop), 407 nucleotides long. RefSeq lists it as uncharacterized. The record is from RefSeq and is a predicted model, not a curated record. Lineage: Eukaryota; Viridiplantae; Streptophyta; Magnoliopsida; Rosales; Cannabaceae. The transcript has 3 exons.